GAUGAACGCUAGCGGCAGGCUUAAUACAUGCAAGUCGUGGGGCAGCAGGACUGUAGCAAUACAGUUGCUGGCGACCGGCAAACGGGUGCGGAACACGUACGCAACUUACCCUGAACUGGGGGAUAGCCCGGGGAAACCCGGAUUAAUACCCCGUAAUAUAAUGGAGUGGCAUCACUUUAUUAUUAAAGCUCCGGCGGUUCGGGAUGGGCGUGCGGCUGAUUAGGUAGUUGGUUGAGGUAACGGCUCACCAAGCCUACGAUCAGUAACUGGUGUGAGAGCACCGACAGGCAACACGGGAAAGGAGCCAGGGCCCGGACUCCUGCGGGAGGAAGCAUGAAGGAAUAUGGGGCAAGGGAGGAAACUCUGCCCCAGCCAUCCCGGGGGGAGGAUAAAGGCCUUGUGGUUUUUAAAUUUCUUUUAGGGGGGACAAACCCUGUGUUUUCUUCCGCAGUUGAGGGUACCCUAGAAAAAAGCCCCGGCAAACCCGGGC
Molecule: ribosomal RNA, 490 nt
Filed under: uncultured bacterium
Lineage: Bacteria
Description: partial 16S ribosomal RNA
Rfam family: Bacterial small subunit ribosomal RNA
Source: RNAcentral